GGGAGUGUAGCCCAGUGGUUAGAGCGUCAGACUCACGACUUGAAGGUCUGGGGUUCGAUUCCCGAUCAAAACCA
Macrostomum lignano is the source of this 74-nucleotide non-coding RNA. The record is from Rfam. Lineage: Eukaryota; Metazoa; Platyhelminthes; Macrostomidae.